This 414-nucleotide long non-coding RNA is filed under the name Gallus gallus (chicken). The record is from RNAcentral. Lineage: Eukaryota; Metazoa; Chordata; Aves; Galliformes; Phasianidae.
AUGGGGCUGGAGCCUACCUGGGGUAGAAUAAGCAUCUGGACCGCUGAGCCUUCAUCCAGAUGGAAAGCUCUGAACGUAUCAGUUAAGUCAGCCUAACAUUCAGUGAAAUGAACUUUUACAUAUAUAGGAGUUUACCCUGUCUGAACGCUUGACUCCUUUGGAUAACAAAGCAGUGCCAUUUAUGACAAACCAUUAUUUUCAACAAGAAUUGAACUGGUGACUUGAAGACAAUAAACCCAAAUCAUCUGCUGGACUCCUUCAUCCAUUCUUCUCAUAAUCUUGAACUGCAUUUCAAUAUCAACACUGUAGAAAACGAAGAAGAUUGAUGGCCACUUAAGAAAUUUUUCUAGACUAGUUUUACCACUUAGGUAACCGGCUAUUUAUAAAGCCACUGAAACAGCAUCCUACUGGUUU